GUGGCUGUGGCUAAGUGAUAGAGCACUUGCCUAGCAUGCAUGAAGCACUGGGUUUGAUCCUCAGCACCACA
Molecule: transfer RNA, 71 nt
Filed under: Marmota marmota marmota (Alpine marmot)
Lineage: Eukaryota; Metazoa; Chordata; Mammalia; Rodentia; Sciuridae
Also listed under: 1 other name
Rfam family: tRNA
About the family: Transfer RNA (tRNA) molecules are approximately 80 nucleotides in length. Their secondary structure includes four short double-helical elements and three loops (D, anti-codon, and T loops).
Source: Rfam by way of RNAcentral